This 1462-nucleotide long non-coding RNA is filed under the name Vulpes vulpes (red fox). RNAcentral describes it as "lncRNA (ENSVVUG00000006877.1)". Lineage: Eukaryota; Metazoa; Chordata; Mammalia; Carnivora; Canidae. The record is from RNAcentral.
AAUUUAGAAUAAUAAAUAGUGGUUAAAUGAGGUCUCUACAUAGAUGGGGACCACUGUGUGAUUAUGGCCUCCUGUCCACAGGUUUUGCCUCUGAAAAACAAGAUGCAGAACCAUGCUCAGUUUCCACUCACCCUAUGUGGAGGGAUGUUCGAGAUCACCAUCCUAGCCUAGGGACCUUGGACUAUCUCAGGUUUAGGGCCAUCACUCAGGCAAGCAUCACCUUCAACCUCUCUAACUGCUGGUUCUCCAGAGGUAUGCUGCUGGUAUCUACAGAUAGAUCUUUGGUGAUCUCCUUUGCCUUCACACAUUGUAUGAGUCUGUCAAGGUCCUCUCCUUGGGUAGUAUCUGCCUCAGACCCCUGCAGCUCUGUGUCCCUGUGGAGAUCAUCAUGCCCUCCACUGAAGCACCGGGCCUUCAUGUAGACCUGGGCACCCUUCCUGCUGUGGUCUGUCUACAGAACAUGUUCCAUGGUCAUCCUGAUCCCCAAGCUGGACCUAAUCAGGUCUGUAAGCCUCAGUACCCUGGUCGUCUUCAUUCUGUCCCUCCUAGAGAUCACCACCUACCCCUCAGAGAGGGUGAGCACUCUCAUCAUCACCUGGGACACCCUGAUCAGCAUCCUGGGCUUUGUGAGCUUCAUGGUAAGGACCUGCCAAGCCCCUGACAAUCCCAUCCAGCUGGGAGAUGCACUUCCUUUCCCAGCAACACUGGCACUGCGGAAGAAUGUUUUCUACUUGACACUUCUCCCUUCACUCCUUAAAUAUUCUAGCCUUGUCUGAACAAAGAUCCCCCUUUCAUUGCUAAUGUCUAUAUUUUUUAUGAGACCUCCAUAGUACUGGGCAUUUUGUACAUUGCCUGACCCACAGCAAGCCUGGAUCAAUGGUGCCUGCUCCUGGGGUAUUGCUACACCAGAUCUCCUGUAUCACAGAUGUGUCCUCUCAGCUUCCAAGCUGAGAUAUGUUAGCCUGGCUUGAAGAAAAGUAGGUUCCUUUCCUGCCUCUCUGGCCCUCAGAGUAGGAAACAGCAAAAUAAUAAGAAUCACUGAUAUUUGUAGAGCACUUUAUCUUUUCAAAGUAGCUUGUCCACCUACCUUCACUUGUUUUCCACAACACUCAGAGGUGGAUGAUGCUGGACUCUUUAACCAUAUUUGUAAAACUGAGGCAUCUGAGGGUAUGUGGGCUGGCCCAGAUCAGGUAGGAGUAAAUGACAGAGCUCAGUAUUAAAACUCAGAUCUUCUGACCCCAUUUCUGCCCAGCUGCAUGACUUAAGUGACUUUUCUCUGGGAUUCCCCACUUAUAAAAUGGAAGGGUUGGCUAGAUCUCUGAGGACCCAUUCUAAGCCAUCUUUGCUAUGUACACUUCAAAGUCUUCUUAACAAGAGGCAGGCCUCCCCCUCCCUGCCCCCACUUGUUGGAGCCAGCUGUUGCCUUGCCUUCAGCCUUCUGUAGCUCCCUGAACUGGUUGCU